UGGGGAAUAUUGCACAAUGGGCGCAAGCCUGAUGCAGCCAUGCCGCGUGUAUGAAGAAGGCCUUCGGGUUGUAAAGUACUUUCAGCGAGGAGGAAGGCAUUGUGGUUAAUAACCGCAGUGAUUGACGUUACUCGCAGAAGAAGCACCGGCUAACUCCGUGCCAGCAGCCGCGGUAAUACGGAGGGUGCAAGCGUUAAUCGGAAUUACUGGGCGUAAAGCGCACGCAGGCGGUCUGUCAAGUCGGAUGUGAAAUCCCCGGGCUCAACAUGGGAACUGCAUCCGAAACUGGCAGGCUAGAGUCUUGUAGAGGGGGGUAGAAUUCCAGGUGUAGCGGUGAAAUGCGUAGAGAUCUGGAGGAAUACCGGUGGCGAAGGCGGCCCCCUGGACAAAGACUGACGCUCAGGUGCGAAAGCGUGGGGAGCAAACA
RNAcentral lists this ribosomal RNA (427 nucleotides) under uncultured bacterium. RNAcentral describes it as "partial 16S ribosomal RNA". It matches the Rfam family "Bacterial small subunit ribosomal RNA", at positions 355 to 774 of the family's 1533-position model. The record is from RNAcentral.